GUAUAUGACGGUGAUCUGGCUGCAGCGUCCGUCAUCCCAUUGAUCGCCAGGGUGGGGCUGGCUGAUCUGGCUGGCUGGGUAGCUGUCCCCUUCCUCCCUCACCACUCCAUGUGUGUCCCUUCCCAAGCUGGUCAAAGAGGACCGCCUCCCCCAGUAGAGGAGGACCAUUCUUCAGUCAAGGGUAUAAAAGUGGCUGUACUCCCCUCCAAACAAGCUCUCAGAGUCCAUUUGGAGGAGAAUGUAGAGCAGUCAAGCUUCCAAGACUCCAGACACACCCAAAUGAGGUGCUGCAUGUGGCAGUCUGCCUUUCUUA
Molecule: unclassified non-coding RNA, 313 nt
Organism: Ursus americanus (American black bear)
Lineage: Eukaryota; Metazoa; Chordata; Mammalia; Carnivora; Ursidae
Gene: 7SK
Rfam family: 7SK RNA
About the family: 7SK was discovered as an abundant small nuclear RNA in the mid-70s but a possible function has only recently been suggested. Two independent studies have found that 7SK RNA binds the CDK9/cyclin T complex (known as elongation factor P-TEFb).
Source: Ensembl